RNAcentral lists this ribosomal RNA (532 nucleotides) under uncultured bacterium. RNAcentral's name for it is "bacterial SSU rRNA". It matches the Rfam family "Bacterial small subunit ribosomal RNA", at positions 978 to 1509 of the family's 1533-position model. The record is from RNAcentral.
GCCUUGACAUGUCUGGAAUCCUGUAGAGAUACGGGAGUGCCUUCGGGAAUCAGAACACAGGUGCUGCAUGGCUGUCGUCAGCUCGUGUAGUGAGAUGUUGGGUUAAGUCCCGCAACGAGCGCAGCCCCUGUCCUUUGUUGCCAGCACGUAAUGGUGGGAACUCAAGGGAGACUGCCGGUGAUAAACCGGAGGAAGGUGGGGAUGACGUCAAGUCAUCAUGGCCCUUACGGCCAGGGCUACACACGUGCUACAAUGGCGCGUACAGAGGGCUGCAAGCUAGCGAUAGUGAGCGAAUCCCAAAAAGCGCGUCGUAGUCCGGAUCGGAGUCUGCAACUCGACUCCGUGAAGUCGGAAUCGCUAGUAAUCGCAAAUCAGAAUGUUGCGGUGAAUACGUUCCCGGGCUUUGUACACACCGCCCGUCACACCAUGGGAGUGGGUUGCACCAGAAGUAGAUAGCUUAACCUUCGGGAGGGCGUUUACCACGGUGUGAUUCAUGACUGGGGUGAAGUCGUAACAAGGUAACUGUAAGGGC